AUUCUAUUUUAUUCAAUUAUGUUAUAUUUCUUCACAGAAAGCAAGUUAUCUCCAAAGCAGAUGUCGCAGCCAUGCCACUUGAUUCUCUAAGUUCCUUUGAUGGCAAAUCAUGACAGUGGCAGGCUCCCCAAUUUGUUCACUGACAUUUCAUCAUAUAUUAUAAAGUUGAAAUUUUUUCAUUUUUGAGACCACCACACACUGGUAGACAAAACAAAUUUGUAUGCUGACACCUAGCAGCAGCGCACUAGGAGUGCAUUUGACAUUCAAUAAUGACACACGAAAUUCACCUUCAACAAGCGUUACAAAUGUAACACCUAAGAUGGAAAAAGCACACCCUCACACAGCUAAUAUCAUCACUUGGCGACAAAAUACCAGC
Molecule: long non-coding RNA, 376 nt
Filed under: Citrus sinensis (sweet orange)
Lineage: Eukaryota; Viridiplantae; Streptophyta; Magnoliopsida; Sapindales; Rutaceae
Description: long non-coding RNA (CSIN_LNC001847)
Source: RNAcentral